CUGAAAUCAGCAGGAAUAAAUUUUAGCGCUGAUGG
This 35-nucleotide small RNA is filed under the name Bombyx mori (domestic silkworm). Its description in RNAcentral is "ovarian small RNA-14786". The record is from RNAcentral. Lineage: Eukaryota; Metazoa; Arthropoda; Insecta; Lepidoptera; Bombycidae.